UCAGCUCACGCUACAGUUGCUCC
Molecule: microRNA, 23 nt
Filed under: Salmo salar (Atlantic salmon)
Lineage: Eukaryota; Metazoa; Chordata; Actinopteri; Salmoniformes; Salmonidae
Description: ssa-miR-449a-3p
Gene: ssa-miR-449a-3p
Source: miRBase by way of RNAcentral